UAUGAAGAACGCAGCGAAAUGCGAUACGUAAUGUGAAUUGCAGAUUUCAGUGAAUCAUCGAAUCUUUGAACGCACAUUGCGCCCGCUAGUAUUCUGGCGGGCAUGCCUGUUCGAGCGUCAUUUCAACCAUCAAGCCCUAGGCUUGCGUUGGAGCCCUGCGGCUGCCGCAGGCUCCCAAAUCCAGUGGCGGGCUCGUGGUCGUACCGAGUGCAGUAAACAUCCUCGCUCAGGGAACGUGACGGGUUCUUGCCGUGAAACCCCCCACAUAUCAAGGUUGACCUCGGAUCAGGUAGGAAUACCCGCUGAACUUAAGCAUAUCAAUAAGCGGAGGA
RNAcentral lists this unclassified non-coding RNA (332 nucleotides) under soil metagenome. RNAcentral's name for it is "partial contains 5.8S ribosomal RNA, internal transcribed spacer 2, and large subunit ribosomal RNA". The stretch from base 2 to 120 matches the Rfam family "5.8S ribosomal RNA", at positions 36 to 154 of the family's 154-position model. The record is from RNAcentral.